UUGGAUAUCGUCUCCAUGCUUGAGAAGGUCGCUUUUGCAACGAUGGUAACCUAUGCGCUUCCCACCGUCUAUGACAAAUGGGUUGAAAUGGUCAGCCUUUGGUCUGGUUAUUUGAGUGAUUUUUAUGGGUUGUUCCGGUGAAGUUAAAUCAAAAAUCUCAAUAUGCCGAUACUGUGCUUCUACACGAACAUCGCUGAACCUUGAUUUCUGACGGAUAGUUGCCACUGCCACCUUGGUGCCGUUGAUGGCUGCCGGAGUUACCGCAUCAAUUCCGUCCGGUGUCACACGGACUAGUUCACCGCUGCUAAUGUCGGCUCGGAACACGCUCCAAAAUUCCCCAACCUUUCGAUGGAAAAAUAUGACGUCGUCACUUCCCCAGGUUGGCCACCCACCAUUUGUUAUAACCAUCUUGCGCUUCAAAGGAGGCUUC
RNAcentral lists this unclassified non-coding RNA (430 nucleotides) under Hevea brasiliensis (rubber tree). The record is from RNAcentral. Lineage: Eukaryota; Viridiplantae; Streptophyta; Magnoliopsida; Malpighiales; Euphorbiaceae.